Molecule: ribosomal RNA, 491 nt
Filed under: uncultured bacterium
Lineage: Bacteria
Description: partial 16S ribosomal RNA
Rfam family: Bacterial small subunit ribosomal RNA
Source: RNAcentral
AGUGAACGCUGGCGGUAGGCCUAACACAUGCAAGUCGAACGGCAGCACAGUAAGAGCUUGCUCUUACGGGUGGCGAGUGGCGGACGGGUGAGGAAUACAUCGGAAUCUACUUUUUCGUGGGGGAUAACGUAGGGAAACUUACGCUAAUACCGCAUACGACCUACGGGUGAAAGCAGGGGAUCUUCGGACCUUGCGCGAUUGAAUGAGCCGAUGUCGGAUUAGCUAGUUGGCGGGGUAAAGGCCCACCAAGGCGACGAUCCGUAGCUGGUCUGAGAGGAUGGACAGCCACACGGGAACUGAGAAACGGUCCAGACCCCUACGGGGGGCAGCAGGGGGGAAUAUUGGAAAAGGGGGGCAAGCCUGAUCCAGCCAUACCGGGUGGGUGAAGAAGGCCUUCGGGUUGUAAAGCCCUUUUGUUGGGAAAAAAAAGCAGCAGGUUAAUACCCCGCUGUUCUGACGGUACCCAAAGAAUAAGCACCGGCUAACUUCGU